This 152-nucleotide small RNA is filed under the name Paenibacillus sp. RNAcentral describes it as "c-di-AMP sequence". It matches the Rfam family "c-di-AMP riboswitch aptamer (ydaO/yuaA leader)". From Rfam's summary of the family: This family represents a conserved RNA structure found upstream of the ydaO and yuaA genes in Bacillus subtilis and related genes in other bacteria. The ydaO/yuaA element is thought to act as a genetic "off" switch for the ydaO and yuaA genes in its native state. It is believed that the element may be triggered during osmotic shock leading to activation of ydaO, a predicted amino acid transporter gene, and members of the yuaA-yubG operon which code for KtrA and KtrB K+ transporters. The record is from RNAcentral. RNAcentral also lists the same sequence under 1 other name. Lineage: Bacteria; Bacillati; Bacillota; Bacilli; Caryophanales; Paenibacillaceae.
UCAAAUUUAUCGCUGAAUCCUCUUUUGAGGAACGGGGGAACCAACGAAGCCAUAUGGCUUCAGGGGUGAAUUCUUUCUAGGUUACAGAAAGGACGGGGACUCUCAAACCCGAAUCCGACAGCUAACCUCGUAAGCGUUAUGGGAGAGAAUAU